CCUACGGGUGGCUGCAGUGAGGAAUAUUGGUCAAUGGGCGCAAGCCUGAACCAGCCAAGUCGCGUGAGGGAUGACGGUCCUAUGGAUUGUAAACCUCUUUUGUCGGGGAGCAAGGCCCGCCACGUGUGGCGGUAAGGAGAGUACCCGAAGAAAAAGCAUCGGCUAACUCCGUCCCAGCAGCCGCGGUACUACGGAGGAUGCGAGCGUUAUCCGGCUUUAUUGGCUUUAAAGGGUGCGUAGGCGGAAGGUUAAGUCAGCGGUAAAAUGUCGGUGCUCAACACCGGCCUGCCGUUGAAACUGGUCUUCUUGAGUGAGCGAGAAGUAGGCGGAAUGCGUGGUGUAGCGGUGAAAUGCAUAGAUAUCACGCAGAACUCCGAUUGCGAAGGCAGCAUACCGGCGCUCAACUGACGCUGAGGCACGAAAGCGUGGGGAUCGAACAGGAUUAGAUACCCUUGUAGUC
RNAcentral lists this ribosomal RNA (460 nucleotides) under uncultured bacterium. RNAcentral's name for it is "partial 16S ribosomal RNA". It matches the Rfam family "Bacterial small subunit ribosomal RNA", at positions 338 to 795 of the family's 1533-position model. The record is from RNAcentral.